GACCCUGGAGCACAUGCAAGUGAGUAUGCAGACAUGAGUAACGUUAAGCCGGGUGAAAUCCCCGGCCGCCGUAAACCCGAGGUUUCCAGGGCAACGUGUUUCGUCCCUGGGUUAGCCGGGACCUAAGCCGAGGCCGAGAGGCGUAGGCGAUGGACACCAGGUUAAUAAUCCUGAGCUCGCAACCCUUAAACUGGGGGGACGCAUGAGAAAAGAUGACUAGGUUAUUGAAUUCCGAGUUGAGUCCACGGACUCAGCGCAUCAUUGGAUCGAGUGCCAAGAAAAGCCCCAGCGUAUGCUAAGCGACCCGUACCGCAAACCGACACAGGUGGGUGGGUAGAAUAUACCAAGGCGUAAGAGUGAAACCUGGUUAAGGAACUCGGCAAAUUAGCCCCGUAACUUCGGAAGAAGGGGUGCCUGCAGCGAUGCAGGCCGCAGAGAAAUGGCCCAACCGACUGUUUAUCAAAAACACAGCACUCUGCAAAGACGCAAGUCGAAGUAUAGGGUGUGACACGUGACCAAUGCCGAAAGAUUAAGGCAAGGGGUUAGCCGCAAGGCGAAGCUCUAAACCCAAGUCCCGGUGAAUGUCGGCCGUAACAAUAACGGUCCUAAGGUAGCGAAAUUCCUUGUCGGGUAAGUUCCGACCUGCACGAAUCGUGAAACGAGUUGGGCACUGUCUCAACCAGGCGCUCAGUGAAAUUGUAGUGGCGGUGAAGAUGCCGCCUACCCGCAGAAGGACGGAAAGACCCUAUAGACCUUAACUGUAAGCUGUCAUUGUUUCUUCGGUUUUAAUGCUCAGAGUAAGUGGGAGACGCUGAAGACGCCCUUUAGGGGGCGUCCGAGUCAUCAAUGAGACACCACCCUUUGAAACUGGAGGAUCUAACCCUGAGCCGUGAAUCCGGCCAGAGGACCGUGUCAGCCGGUCAGUUUUACUGGGGCGGUAUCCUCCCAAAGAGUAACGGAGGAGCGCGAAGGUGGGCUCAGCCCGGUUGGCAACCGGGUGUCGAGUGCAUGGGCAUAAGCCCGCCUAACUGUGAGACCAACAAGUCGAGCAGAUGCGAAAGCAGGCCCAAGUGAUCCGGCGGUAGAAAGUGGAAUUGCCGUCGCUCAACGGAUAAAAGGUACCUUAGGGAUAACAGGCUGAUCACGCCCAAGAGUUCAUAUCGACGGCGUGGUUUGGCACCUCGAUGUCGGCUCGUCGCAUCCUGGGGCUGGAGAAGGUCCCAAGGGUCCGGCUGUUCGCCGGUUAAAGCGGCACGCGAGCUGGGUUCAGAACGUCGCGAGACAGUUCGGUCCUCUAUCCUCUGUGGGCGUUGGAAAAUUGAGGGGUUCAGACCUUAGUACGAGAGGACCGGGUCUGACGCACCACUGGUGCAUCGGUUGUACUGUCAAGUGCAUGGCCGAGUAGCUAAGUGCGGACGGGAUAAGCGCUGAAAGCAUCUAAGCGCCAAGCCCUUCCCAAGAUGAGUUUUCCCUACAGGUUCGUGGAAGACCACCACGUUGAUAGGUCGCAGGUGUAAGUGCAGCAAUGUAUUGAGCCGAGCGAUACUAAUUAUCAA
RNAcentral lists this ribosomal RNA (1556 nucleotides) under metagenome. Its description in RNAcentral is "bacterial LSU rRNA". It matches the Rfam family "Bacterial large subunit ribosomal RNA", at positions 1269 to 2912 of the family's 2925-position model. The record is from RNAcentral.